UGUGUGUGUGUGUGUGUGUGUGUGUGUGUGUGUGUGUGUGUGUAGUGCUGUGCCCACACCCACCACCCCCCCCCCCCCCCCCACACA
This 87-nucleotide microRNA precursor is filed under the name Tetraodon nigroviridis (spotted green pufferfish). RNAcentral describes it as "miRNA (ENSTNIG00000020243.1)". The record is from RNAcentral. Lineage: Eukaryota; Metazoa; Chordata; Actinopteri; Tetraodontiformes; Tetraodontidae.